GAAUAACUUGUGUACUUUGAUACAGCAGGAGCAGGAGCCGUUUAUUGUAGGACAGGAGCAGUAUUUAUACAUUCCACACAGCUUAUCUAAUUAGCAUAAACUAGAUACAUCAGUCAACCAAUAAGGAAUCUCCACACUUAAUGGCUCUCUGGCGUUACUUCACAAACCACUCCCUCUGGCAUUUUGCCAGGCGCCAUCCAGACUUGUUUACAGACUCUAACAUUUGAGGGCUCAUGGUUUCAGAGGUCUUCAUCCAUACAAGGUCAGCUCCAUUCCUCAGGGCUCAAAGUGAGGUUGAACAUAAUGGCAGGAGAGGAUGGUAGAGGACAGCUGCUCACAUCAUGGUGACCAGGAGGCAGAGAGAGACUCCACUUGCCAAAAUACAAAUAUAUACCCAAAGCCAUGCCCCAAUUCCCACCUCUUCCAGCCACACCCUACCACCUCAGUUAAUCCCACCAGGGAUUAAUUUACCAAUUAGACUAAUGCUAUAACCCAAUCAUUUUCCUCCAAACCUUCUUGAAUUGUCUCAUGUGAGGUUUUUGGAGACACCUCACAUCCAAACCAUAACAAAGUUCUCUCCAUUAUGUAAUACUACUCUCUUUAAAAUGAAAAUAUUUUAAAAACAUAACAUUUUGGUCUCAGGUCUGGAU
Molecule: long non-coding RNA, 650 nt
Filed under: Marmota monax (woodchuck)
Lineage: Eukaryota; Metazoa; Chordata; Mammalia; Rodentia; Sciuridae
Source: RNAcentral